Molecule: ribosomal RNA, 253 nt
Filed under: uncultured bacterium
Lineage: Bacteria
Description: partial 16S ribosomal RNA
Rfam family: Bacterial small subunit ribosomal RNA
Source: RNAcentral
UACAGAGGGUGCGAGCGUUAAUCGGAAUUACUGGGCGUAAAGCGUGCGUAGGUGGUUCGUUAAGUCUGAUGUGAAAGCCCUGGGCUCAACCUGGGAAUGGCAUUGGAAACUGGCGACCUAGAGUGCGGUAGAGGGUAGUGGAAUUCCGCGUGUAGCAGUGAAAUGCGUAGAUAUGCGGAGGAACACCGAUGGCGAAGGCAAUCCCCUGGGCCUGUACUGACGCUCAUGCACGAAAGCGUGGGGAGCAAACAGG